Molecule: microRNA precursor, 119 nt
Filed under: Physcomitrium patens
Lineage: Eukaryota; Viridiplantae; Streptophyta; Bryopsida; Funariales; Funariaceae
Description: Physcomitrella patens miR1033b stem-loop (ppt-MIR1033b)
Rfam family: MIR1033 microRNA precursor family (bases 20-100)
Source: miRBase by way of RNAcentral
GUGACCAAGAUGGAGAUGAUGGGAUGUUGGGCAUGCUCAACACGAUCUGUCAACAUUCUAGAGUAUAUUGACGGGUCGUGAUGGGCACUCUCAAUGUCCACUUCAUGGUUUUGUGACGU